This 132-nucleotide small RNA is filed under the name Klebsiella pneumoniae. RNAcentral describes it as "RtT sRNA". It matches the Rfam family "RtT RNA". From Rfam's summary of the family: This family represents a bacterial cis-regulatory element known as RtT RNA. Lineage: Bacteria; Pseudomonadati; Pseudomonadota; Gammaproteobacteria; Enterobacterales; Enterobacteriaceae. The record is from RNAcentral.
UAUUCUGCCCCACGGGGAAGGAUGAGAAGCUUCGACUAAGGUUCGACUCGAGCGAAGCGAGAGAACGUUGCCGCAGGCAACGGCCCGAAGGGCGAGGAGCGAUAGCGACGAGUUAUCCUUCCCCCACCACCG